This 350-nucleotide small RNA is filed under the name Histoplasma ohiense. RNAcentral's name for it is "hypothetical lncRNA". The record is from RNAcentral. Lineage: Eukaryota; Fungi; Ascomycota; Eurotiomycetes; Onygenales; Ajellomycetaceae.
CAAGCCAGCUAAGGGAGCUCAAGACAACAAACACAGGGCUCGUCCGAGGAGGGAUCGUGGAACAGAAUAGAGUCGGACACAGAGAACCGCUUAGGUUGAGCGGUAGAAUCGAUAUAAAAACAGAAUAAGACCAGUCAAGAAUGCAGAAGUUGGUGCAGAAAUUGCGGGAGGUGGGAACAAGGGCUCUCGGAGAGAAAUAAAUAUCUUUUCUCUCCUCCUCUUCAAAUUCAACGAAAAGAGUUAAUCAAGUCGACAAGAAAAGUGAUCCCCGAGAUGAAGUGAUGAAAUGCCUUUUUUUCCACCUGGGCAACCUUCACCAGAUUUGAUUCCCGGGAGAUAACCAGCAACAG